This 101-nucleotide non-coding RNA is filed under the name uncultured Nitratireductor sp. RNAcentral's name for it is "TPP riboswitch (THI element)". It matches the Rfam family "TPP riboswitch aptamer (THI element)", at positions 8 to 91 of the family's 105-position model. From Rfam's summary of the family: Vitamin B(1) in its active form thiamin pyrophosphate (TPP) is an essential coenzyme that is synthesised by coupling of pyrimidine and thiazole moieties in bacteria. The previously detected thiamin-regulatory element, thi box was extended, resulting in a new, highly conserved RNA secondary structure, the THI element, which is widely distributed in eubacteria and also occurs in some archaea. Lineage: Bacteria; Pseudomonadati; Pseudomonadota; Alphaproteobacteria; Hyphomicrobiales; Phyllobacteriaceae. The record is from RNAcentral.
GCACCAAGGGGAGUCCCGGCAAGGGGCUGAGAUACUGCUGGCAUCAUAAGCGCGGUGACCCUUCGAACCUGAUCCGGAUCAUGCCGGCGAAGGGAUGGGAA